RNAcentral lists this ribosomal RNA (749 nucleotides) under Listeria monocytogenes. RNAcentral's name for it is "bacterial SSU rRNA". It matches the Rfam family "Bacterial small subunit ribosomal RNA", at positions 50 to 781 of the family's 1533-position model. The record is from RNAcentral. Lineage: Bacteria; Bacillati; Bacillota; Bacilli; Caryophanales; Listeriaceae.
UAUACAUGCAGUCGAACGAACGGAGGAAGAGCUUGCUCUUCCAAAGUUAGUGGCGGACGGGUGAGUAACACGUGGGCAACCUGCCUGUAAGUUGGGGAUAACUCCGGGAAACCGGGGCUAAUACCGAAUGAUARARUGUGGCGCAUGCCACGCUUUUGAAAGAUGGUUUCGGCUAUCGCUUACAGAUGGGCCCGCGGUGCAUUAGCUAGUUGGUAGGGUAAUGGCCUACCAAGGCAACGAUGCAUAGCCGACCUGAGAGGGUGAUCGGCCACACUGGGACUGAGACACGGCCCAGACUCCUACGGGAGGCAGCAGUAGGGAAUCUUCCGCAAUGGACGAAAGUCUGACGGAGCAACGCCGCGUGUAUGAAGAAGGUUUUCGGAUCGUAAAGUACUGUUGUUAGAGAAGAACAAGGAUAAGAGUAACUGCUUGUCCCUUGACGGUAUCUAACCAGAAAGCCACGGCUAACUACGUGCCAGCAGCCGCGGUAAUACGUAGGUGGCAAGCGUUGUCCGGAUUUAUUGGGCGUAAAGCGCGCGCAGGCGGUCUUUUAAGUCUGAUGUGAAAGCCCCCGGCUUAACCGGGGAGGGUCAUUGGAAACUGGAAGACUGGAGUGCAGAAGAGGAGAGUGGAAUUCCACGUGUAGCGGUGAAAUGCGUAGAUAUGUGGAGGAACACCAGUGGCGAAGGCGACUCUCUGGUCUGUAACUGACGCUGAGGCGCGAAAGCGUGGGGAGCAAACAGGAUUAG